Molecule: ribosomal RNA, 481 nt
Filed under: uncultured bacterium
Lineage: Bacteria
Description: partial 16S ribosomal RNA
Rfam family: Bacterial small subunit ribosomal RNA
Source: RNAcentral
GAUGAACGCUGGCGGCGUGCUUAACACAUGCAAGUCGAACGAAACACCUCAUUUGAUUUUCUUCGGAACUGAAGAUUUGGUGAUUGAGUGACGGACGGGUGAGUAACGCGUGGGUAACCUGCCCUGUAGAGGGGGAUAACAGUCAGAAAUGACUGCUAAUACCGCAUAAGACCACAGCACCGCAUGGUGCAGGGGUAAAAAGUCUGGUGGUACAGGAUGGACCCGCGUCAGAUUAGCUGGUUGGUGAGGUAACGGCUCACCAAGGCGACGAGCAGUAGCCGGGUUGGGAGAGGGAACGGCGACAUUGGGACUGAGCCACGGCACAAACUCCUACGGGAGGCAGGGGUGGGGAAUAUUGCACAAUGGAGGAAGACCUGAUGCAGCGGCGCCGGGUAAGUGAAGAAGUAUUUCGGUAUGUAAAGCUCUAUCAGCAGGGAAGAGAAUGACGGUACCUGACAAAGAAGCCCCGGCUAACUACGUG